Molecule: ribosomal RNA, 500 nt
Filed under: uncultured bacterium
Lineage: Bacteria
Description: partial 16S ribosomal RNA
Rfam family: Bacterial small subunit ribosomal RNA
Source: RNAcentral
AUUGAACGCUGGCGGCAUGCUUUACACAUGCAAGUCGAACGGCAGCACGGGGGCAACCCUGGUGGCGAGUGGCGAACGGGUGAGUAAUACAUCGGAACGUGCCCAGUAAUGGGGGAUAGCCCGGCGAAAGCCGGAUUAAUACCGCAUACGCCCUGAGGGGGAAAGCGGGGGACCGAAAGGCCUCGCGUUAUUGGAGCGGCCGAUGGCUGAUUAGCUAGUUGGUAGGGUAAAGGCCUACCAAGGCGACGAUCAGUAGCUGGUCUGAGAGGACGACCAGCCACACUGGGACUGAGACACGGCCCAGACUCCUACGGGAGGCAGCAGUGGGGAAUUUUGGACAAUGGGCGAAAGCCUGAUUCAGCCAUGCCGCGUGCAGGAUGAAGGCCUUCGGGUUGUAAACUGCUUUUGUACGGAACGAAAAGGUUUGGCCUAAUAAGCUGAGCUCAUGACGGUACCGUAAGAAUAAGCACCGGCUAACUACGUGCCAGCCGCCGCCGUAA